Long non-coding RNA from Chinchilla lanigera (long-tailed chinchilla), 568 nucleotides. RefSeq lists it as uncharacterized. The transcript has 3 exons. NCBI's taxonomy places the organism in Eukaryota, Metazoa, Chordata, Mammalia, Rodentia, Chinchillidae. The record is from RefSeq and is a predicted model, not a curated record.
AGCUACAAUACUGUGCUGUAGUUAGGUCUUCUCGGUCUCCUCCAUCCAUGAUGCUGUCUACAGCUUUCCUCAGCUUUCACGACCUUUGCACUUUCAGAGAGCACCCGUGAGGUCUUUUGUAGCCUGUCUGAAGGUCUGGUCUCUCACGACUGGACGGAAGUUAUGAAUUAGGGGGGAAAUAUCAAGCAGGAGGAGACGUGAUAUGGACGGGGAAUGUUGUCAGUAUGUCUCAGUGUUGUUGAUCACUUGCUUCGAUGACGCUUGUCAGAUUUUUUCACUAAUAUAAACAGACUAACAGAGGAUACAAACCACAUCUUCAUUUUCCUAUUAUCUUUCAUUCCACUGAGUUUUCUAUCUUCCACAUUUUCUAUUGAGAUGGUUUUAAGGCAGCUGGAGACACAAGCACAAUGUUUUUUAAAUGAAGAAUUCACUGGAGUCAGAGGAAAAAUGGGAAGUUGAUUUCUCCUUGGAAACAAAGAACUGAAGAGAAGGGUGUCUGGGGAGAGCGGUAGUGGAGAAAAGUGAGAGGAGAGUGCGUGAGGCCGAUUCUGUGGAUCACCGCAGGCGA